Molecule: ribosomal RNA, 429 nt
Filed under: Pseudomonadota bacterium
Lineage: Bacteria; Pseudomonadati; Pseudomonadota
Description: Proteobacteria bacterium partial 16S ribosomal RNA
Rfam family: Bacterial small subunit ribosomal RNA
Source: RNAcentral
UGGGGAAUAUUGGACAAUGGGCGAAAGCCUGAUCCAGCCAUGCCGCGUGUGUGAAGACGGUCUUCGGAUUGUAAAGCACUUUAAGUUGGGAGGAAGGGCAGUAAGCGAAUACCUUGCUGUUUUGACGUUACCGACAGAAUAAGCACCGGCUAACUCUGUGCCAGCAGCCGCGGUAAUACAGAGGGUGCAAGCGUUAAUCGGAAUUACUGGGCGUAAAGCGCGCGUAGGUGGUUCGUUAAGUUGAAUGUGAAAGCCCCGGGUUCAACCUGGGAACUGCAUCCAAAACUGGCGAGCUAGAGUAGGGCAGAGGGUGGUGGAAUUUCCUGUGUAGCGGUGAAAUGCGUAGAUAUAGGAAGGAACACCAGUGGCGAAGGCGACCACCUGGGCUCAUACUGACACUGAGGUGGGAAAGCGUGGGGAGCAAACAGG